GCCCAGGUAGCUCAGCUGGUAGAGCAGGGGACUGAAAAUCCCCGUGUCGGUGGUUCGAUUCCGCCCCUGGGCACCA
This 76-nucleotide transfer RNA is filed under the name Rhodospirillum centenum. Its description in RNAcentral is "tRNA-Phe". It matches the Rfam family "tRNA". From Rfam's summary of the family: Transfer RNA (tRNA) molecules are approximately 80 nucleotides in length. Their secondary structure includes four short double-helical elements and three loops (D, anti-codon, and T loops). RNAcentral also lists the same sequence under 3 other names. Lineage: Bacteria; Pseudomonadati; Pseudomonadota; Alphaproteobacteria; Rhodospirillales; Rhodospirillaceae. The record is from RNAcentral.